AUUGAACGCUGGCGGCAUGCUUUACACAUGCAAGUCGAACGGUAACAGGUUAAGCUGACGAGUGGCGAACGGGUGAGUAAUGUAUCGGAACGUGCCCAGUCGUGGGGGAUAACGUAGCGAAAGCUACGCUAAUACCGCAUACGAUCUCUGGAUGAAAGCGGGGGACCGCAAGGCCUCGCGCGCUUGGAGCGGCCGAUAUCAGAUUAGGUAGUUGGUGGGGUAAAGGCCCACCAAGCCAACGAUCUGUAGCUGGUCUGAGAGGACGACCAGCCACACUGGGACUGAGACACGGCCCAGACUCCUACGGGAGGCAGCAGUGGGGAAUUUUGGACAAUGGGGGCAACCCUGAUCCAGCAAUGCCGCGUGCAGGAAGAAGGCCUUCGGGUUGUAAACUGCUUUUGUACGGAACGAAAAGGCUCUGGUUAAUACCUGGGGCUCAUGACGGUACCGUAAGAAUAAGCACCGGCUAACUACGUGCCAGCCGCCGCUGUAA
This 493-nucleotide ribosomal RNA is filed under the name uncultured bacterium. RNAcentral describes it as "partial 16S ribosomal RNA". It matches the Rfam family "Bacterial small subunit ribosomal RNA", at positions 30 to 523 of the family's 1533-position model. The record is from RNAcentral.